Molecule: ribosomal RNA, 930 nt
Filed under: uncultured bacterium
Lineage: Bacteria
Description: bacterial SSU rRNA
Rfam family: Bacterial small subunit ribosomal RNA
Source: RNAcentral
AGAGUUUGAUCCUGGCUCAGAUUGAACGCUGGCGGCAUGCCUUACACAUGCAAGUCGAACGGCAGCACGGGAGCAAUCCUGGUGGCGAGUGGCGAACGGGUGAGUAAUAUAUCGGAACGUGCCCAGUCGUGGGGGAUAACGCAGCGAAAGCUGUGCUAAUACCGCAUACGAUCUAUGGAUGAAAGCGGGGGAUCGCAAGACCUCGCGCGAUUGGAGCGGCCGAUAUCAGAUUAGGUAGUUGGUGGGGUAAAGGCCUACCAAGCCGACGAUCUGUAGCUGGUCUGAGAGGACGACCAGCCACACUGGAACUGAGACACGGUCCAGACUCCUACGGGAGGCAGCAGUGGGGAAUUUUGGACAAUGGGCGCAAGCCUGAUCCAGCAAUGCCGCGUGCAGGAUGAAGGCCUUCGGGUUGUAAACUGCUUUUGUACGGAACGAAACGGUCCUUUCUAAUAUAAGGGGCUAAUGACGGUACCGUAAGAAUAAGCACCGGCUAACUACGUGCCAGCAGCCGCGGUAAUACGUAGGGUGCGAGCGUUAAUCGGAAUUACUGGGCGUAAAGCGUGCGCAGGCGGUUAUAUAAGACAGAUGUGAAAUCCCCGGGCUCAACCUGGGACCUGCAUUUGUGACUGUAUAGCUAGAGUACGGUAGAGGGGGAUGGAAUUCCGCGUGUAGCAGUGAAAUGCGUAGAUAUGCGGAGGAACACCGAUGGCGACGGCAAUCCCCUGGACCUGUACUGACGCUCAUGCACGAAAGCGUGGGGAGCAAACAGGAUUAGAUACCCUGGUAGUCCACGCCCUAAACGAUGUCAACUGGUUGUUGGGUCUUCACUGACUCAGUAACGAAGCUAACGCGUGAAGUUGACCGCCUGGGGAGUACGGCCGCAAGGUUGAAACUCAAGGAAUUGACGGGGACCCGCACAAGCGGUGG